CUCUCCCAGGGUCUAACCCGAGGACUAGCCCUCUCCCCGCAGCGCGGGGAGAGGGGACUGAAGACGCCGCCGCGAGUCUCUUCUCCCCGCAAGCGGGGAGAAGGUGC
This 107-nucleotide small RNA is filed under the name Sinorhizobium meliloti 2011. RNAcentral describes it as "putative ncRNA". Lineage: Bacteria; Pseudomonadati; Pseudomonadota; Alphaproteobacteria; Hyphomicrobiales; Rhizobiaceae. The record is from RNAcentral.